GGGGAUUUAGCUCAGUGGUAGAGCGCUUGCCUAGCAAGCACAAGGCCCUGGGUUCGAUCCUCAGCUCCG
RNAcentral lists this transfer RNA (69 nucleotides) under Rattus norvegicus (Norway rat). It matches the Rfam family "tRNA". From Rfam's summary of the family: Transfer RNA (tRNA) molecules are approximately 80 nucleotides in length. Their secondary structure includes four short double-helical elements and three loops (D, anti-codon, and T loops). Further hydrogen bonds mediate the characteristic L-shaped molecular structure. tRNAs have two regions of fundamental functional importance: the anti-codon, which is responsible for specific mRNA codon recognition, and the 3' end, to which the tRNAs corresponding amino acid is attached (by aminoacyl-tRNA synthetases). tRNAs cope with the degeneracy of the genetic code in two manners: having more than one tRNA (with a specific anti-codon) for a particular amino acid; and 'wobble' base-pairing, i.e. permitting non-standard base-pairing at the 3rd anti-codon position. The record is from Rfam by way of RNAcentral. RNAcentral also lists the same sequence under 1 other name. Lineage: Eukaryota; Metazoa; Chordata; Mammalia; Rodentia; Muridae.